Molecule: ribosomal RNA, 595 nt
Filed under: uncultured Arcobacter sp.
Lineage: Bacteria; Pseudomonadati; Campylobacterota; Epsilonproteobacteria; Campylobacterales; Arcobacteraceae
Description: bacterial SSU rRNA
Rfam family: Bacterial small subunit ribosomal RNA
Source: RNAcentral
GAGAUUAGCUUGCUUUAUUUGUCAGCUAAGUGGCGCACGGGUGAGUAAUGUAUAGAUAACCUGCCCUCUAGAAAGGAAUAACAGUUGGAAACGACUGCUAAUGCCCUAUAUGCCUUUAAUACAUAAGUAUGCAAGGGAAACGCUUUAGUGCUAGAGGAUGGGUCUGUAUGGUAUCAGCUAGUUGGUGAGGUGAUGGCUCACCAAGGCUAUGACGCCUAACUGGUUUGAGAGGAUGAUCAGUCACACUGGAACUGAGACACGGUCCAGACUCCUACGGGAGGCAGCAGUGGGGAAUAUUGCACAAUGGACGAAAGUCUGAUGCAGCACCGCCGCGUGGAGGAUGACACAUUUCGGUGCGUAAACUCCUUUUAUAUAGGAAGAUAAUGACGGUACUAUAUGAAUAAGCACCGGCUAACUCCGUGCCAGCAGCCGCGGUAAUACGGAGGGUGCAAGCGUUACUCGGAAUCACUGGGCGUAAAGAGCGUGUAGGCGGGUAUAUAAGUCAGAAGUGAAAUCCUAUAGCUUAACUAUAGAACUGCUUUUGAAACUGUAUACCUAGAAUGUGGGAGAGGUAGAUGGAAUUUCUGGUGUAGGG